This 450-nucleotide ribosomal RNA is filed under the name uncultured bacterium. RNAcentral describes it as "partial 16S ribosomal RNA". It matches the Rfam family "Bacterial small subunit ribosomal RNA", at positions 354 to 796 of the family's 1533-position model. The record is from RNAcentral.
GUGGGGAAUCUUCCGCAAUGGACGAAAGUCUGACGGAGCAACGCCGCGUGAGUGAUGAAGGUCUUCGGAUUGUAAAGCUCUGUUAAUCGGGACGAAAGAGCCUAGUGUGAAUAAUGCUAGGAAGUGACGGUACCGGAAUAGAAAGCCACGGCUAACUACGUGCCAGCAGCCGCGGUAAUACGUAGGUGGCAAGCGUUGUCCGGAAUUAUUGGGCGUAAAGCGCGCGCAGGCGGAUCUGCCAGUCUGUCUUAAAAGUUCGGGGCUUAACCCCGUGAUGGGAUGGAAACUACAGAUCUAGAGUAACGGAGAGGAAAGUGGAAUUCCUAGUGUAGCGGUGAAAUGCGUAGAUAUUAGGAAGAACACCAGUGGCGAAGGCGACUUUCUGGACGAAAACUGACGCUGAGGCGCGAAAGCCAGGGGAGCGAACGGGAUUAGAAACCCGUGUAGUCC